RNAcentral lists this ribosomal RNA (306 nucleotides) under uncultured fungus. RNAcentral describes it as "eukaryotic LSU rRNA". The stretch from base 1 to 72 matches the Rfam family "5.8S ribosomal RNA", at positions 84 to 154 of the family's 154-position model. Lineage: Eukaryota; Fungi. The record is from RNAcentral.
GUGAAUCAUCGAGUCUUUUGAACGCACAUUGCGCCUUCCGGUAUUCCGGGAGGCAUGCCUGUUCGAGCGUCAUUAAAAACCACUCAAGCGACUUUGCUUGGUUAUGGAGGAAGAGUUGUCGGCAACGGCGUCUCCCCUUCGAAAUCAAUAGGCGGAAAGCUCCAUGAUGCUCAGCGUAGUAAAUCUAUAUUUCGCUUGGAACAUGAGGUGCUCCUGUGCCCUUCAAACCCCCAAUUUUUUUCUUAGGUUGACCUCCGGAUUCAGGUAGGGAUACCCGCUGAACUUAAGCAUAUCAAUAAGCGGAGG